This 90-nucleotide small nucleolar RNA is filed under the name Macleaya cordata. Its description in RNAcentral is "Small nucleolar RNA snoR26". It matches the Rfam family "Small nucleolar RNA snoR26". Lineage: Eukaryota; Viridiplantae; Streptophyta; Magnoliopsida; Ranunculales; Papaveraceae. The record is from Rfam by way of RNAcentral.
ACAGCAUCAAUAAUGUGUAGCUCCUUUUGUUAUUCUUGCACUUUGAUUGCCAGUGGAGAAAGUUAGGGUAAGUUUCAGCCUGAGAUGUUU